RNAcentral lists this long non-coding RNA (1821 nucleotides) under Callithrix jacchus (white-tufted-ear marmoset). RNAcentral describes it as "lncRNA (ENSCJAG00000077004.1)". Lineage: Eukaryota; Metazoa; Chordata; Mammalia; Primates; Cebidae. The record is from RNAcentral.
GUGAUUGCUAUGAGUAUGGGUUUUUUGGGAGAGAGAGAAGAAACUGUUCUAAAACUGAUCAUAGUGAUAGUUGCAAAAUACUUUGAAUAACCUAAAAAACAUUAAACUGUAUACUUUAAAUAGGUGAGUUCUAUGGUAUGUAAAUCAUAUUUCAAUAAAGCUGUUUCUUUAAAUGUCCUGCAGGUCAGAUGACAAUGUAUUACUGUGUGAGACUACACUGUCCUUGUCUUUAAGUUUGCAAGACAUUUAACUUCUAUUCCACCUAUUCUCUCAAAUCAUUGUAACAACAACAGCCCCUUACAUUUUCUCACAGUGUUAGUUUCAGCCCCUUGGAGAAUCUGGCACCACUCACUGGUCUAAUCCAUUUAGUAAAUCAGUUCUUUCUUGCCAGUGAUUGGUUGAUAAAUUCGGAUUUAAGCCAAUCAGUAAAUAUGUUUAGACCGGAAUAGUCACAUGACUUGUGUUGGCCCAAUCAGAACAAAGAAAAGAUUUUCAGCCAGUGGUUUUGGGGAGCCUCGCUUUCUCUCUCCCUGACUGGGCUUGAAUAAACACACAAGUGCUUCUAUUGCUCCUGAUGACCACUUUGAGAUGAAGAGUAAAACCAGCUGUAGAAUCAAGCCAAUGAUGUGCAUGAUCACUCACCUGGGAGCAGCCAGCUUCUCUGUCACGAGGACACUCAAAAAACCCAAUGGAGGAGCUCACAUGGUAAAGAACUGAGGCUUUCUGCCAACAGCCAGUGAGGAACUGAGCCCUGCUGGCAGCUGCCAGAUAAGCAAGCCAUCUUGGAAGAAGACCCCCAGCCUGUCAAGCCUUCAGCAACUGCAGCCCCAGCUGAUGCAAGAAACCAGAGUCAGAAUUACUCAGCAAGGCAUUCCUAAAUUUCUGACCCAUAGAAAUUGUAAGAUAAUAAAUGUUUGGGGUUUUUCUUUAAUCCACUAAGUCUGUGGGUAAUGUAUAUGAGCAGUGGAUAGCUUAUACUGUAAGAAAAAUAGAGGCAUUGGAUAUAAACCACUGGUCCAAAAAUUUUAACAAACAGAAAGAAAGAGACAGCAAGUAGUAGAGUGGAGCUGGAGGGAGCAGAGGUUGAAAGAGAAUACUGUCAUGGCAAAGGGCAUGGGUUUUUAAGAUAAAUCAGACAUGAAUUUGAAACCAGCACUGACACCUGUUAACUAUGUGACCUUGGGCAAACACUUAGAGUCUGUAAGCAUCAGUGUCUUCUUUUGUCUGUGUUCUUAAAAUAAUAGUACCUACUUCACACAUUUAUUUUAGAUCAAAAGACAAAAUGCACAGGAAAUAUCUACUUGGCACAUAGCAGACAGUAGACAGGUAUAAGUUAUUAGUGAUCACUUCAUUGAAGGUAAACAUGACACUCUGCUAACCUACACUGCCUGACUUUGCAGGGAAUGGAGUACCAUUUCAAUGCUUAUUGUUUUUUUUUUUCUUUUUCUUUUCUUGUUUUUUUUUUUAAAUUCUGAGAUAUAUCAGAAACAUGAUUUACUUUAUUUAACUAGAUAAACUUAAGUUCUGUGUAUCCAAAAUAUUCCAAGGACAGCAGAAGCAGAUAAAUCUGGAAAAAAAGUAUUUGAAUAGAAAUAAAUGUUGUUUCAAAAAAGUUUCUCCUUUUCUUGCCUUUUAGAGCAAUGUAGGCACCAUGCUUAGUACAUACACAAAACCUCCAACAUCAUCUACUUACAGAUCGUUCAUGUCAGUUCCAUGUUUAUUACUUUGAAGAGGGCAAAUUUUUUCAACAAGAGCUACUAUGCACUUAAGGCAUAUUCUCAAAAUCUCCAAGACUUAGUGUUCAUAUCUAUAGUAGUAAUU